RNAcentral lists this ribosomal RNA (497 nucleotides) under uncultured bacterium. RNAcentral describes it as "partial 16S ribosomal RNA". It matches the Rfam family "Bacterial small subunit ribosomal RNA", at positions 28 to 507 of the family's 1533-position model. The record is from RNAcentral.
GAUGAACGCUGGCGGCGUGCCUAAUACAUGCAAGUCGAGCGAACGGACGAGAAGCUUGCUUCUCUGAUGUUAGCGGCGGACGGGUGAGUAACACGUGGAUAACCUACCUAUAAGACUGGGAUAACUUCGGGAAACCGGAGCUAAUACCGGAUGAUAUUUUGAACCGCAUGGUUCAAAAGUGAAAGACGGUCUUGCUGUCACUUAUAGAUGGAUCCGCGUUGCAUUAGCUAGUUGGUAAGGUAACGGCUUACCAAGGCAACGAUGCAUAGCCGACCUGAGAGGAUGAUCGGCCACACUGGAACUGAGACACGGUCCAGACUCCUACGGGAGGCAGCAGUAGGGAAUCUUCGGCAAUGGGCGAAAGCCUGACGGAGCAACGCCGCGUGAGUGAUGAAGGUCUUCGGAUCGUAAAGCUCUGUUAUUUGGGAAGAACAUAUGUGUGAGUAACUGUGGACAUCUUGACGGUACCUAAUCAGAAAGCCACGGCUAACUACGUG